RNAcentral lists this ribosomal RNA (1020 nucleotides) under Allantophoma endogenospora. RNAcentral's name for it is "SSU rRNA". It matches the Rfam family "Eukaryotic small subunit ribosomal RNA", at positions 75 to 1105 of the family's 1831-position model. Lineage: Eukaryota; Fungi; Ascomycota. The record is from RNAcentral.
UAUACUGUGAACUGCGAAUGGCUCAUUAAAUCAGUUAUCGUUUAUUUGAUAGUACCUUACUACUUGGAUAACCGUGGUAAUUCUAGAGCUAAUACAUGCUAAAAACCUCGACUUCGGAAGGGGUGUAUUUAUUAGAUAAAAAACCAAUGCCCUUCGGGGCUCCUUGGUGAUUCAUAAUAACUUAACGAAUCGCAUGGCCUUGUGCCGGCGAUGGUUCAUUCAAAUUUCUGCCCUAUCAACUUUCGAUGGUAGGAUAGUGGCCUACCAUGGUUUCAACGGGUAACGGGGAAUUAGGGUUCUAUUCCGGAGAGGGAGCCUGAGAAACGGCUACCACAUCCAAGGAAGGCAGCAGGCGCGCAAAUUACCCAAUCCCGACACGGGGAGGUAGUGACAAUAAAUACUGAUACAGGGCUCUUUUGGGUCUUGUAAUUGGAAUGAGUACAAUUUAAAUCCCUUAACGAGGAACAAUUGGAGGGCAAGUCUGGUGCCAGCAGCCGCGGUAAUUCCAGCUCCAAUAGCGUAUAUUAAAGUUGUUGCAGUUAAAAAGCUCGUAGUUGAACCUUGGGCCUGGCUGGCCGGUCCGCCUCACCGCGUGCACUGGUCCGGCCGGGCCUUUCCUUCUGGGGAGCCGCAUGCCCUUCACUGGGUGUGUCGGGGAACCAGGACUUUUACUUUGAAAAAAUUAGAGUGUUCAAAGCAGGCCUAUGCUCGAAUACAUUAGCAUGGAAUAAUAGAAUAGGACGUGUGGUUCUAUUUUGUUGGUUUCUAGGACCGCCGUAAUGAUUAAUAGGGAUAGUCGGGGGCAUCAGUAUUCAAUUGUCAGAGGUGAAAUUCUUGGAUUUAUUGAAGACUAACUACUGCGAAAGCAUUUGCCAAGGAUGUUUUCAUUAAUCAGUGAACGAAAGUUAGGGGAUCGAAGACGAUCAGAUACCGUCGUAGUCUUAACCAUAAACUAUGCCGACUAGGGAUCGGGCGAUUUAUCUUUUUGACUCGCUCGGCACCUUACGAGAAAUCAAAGUC